RNAcentral lists this ribosomal RNA (1468 nucleotides) under Salmonella enterica subsp. enterica serovar Enteritidis. RNAcentral's name for it is "partial 23S ribosomal RNA". It matches the Rfam family "Bacterial large subunit ribosomal RNA", at positions 1 to 1506 of the family's 2925-position model. Lineage: Bacteria; Pseudomonadati; Pseudomonadota; Gammaproteobacteria; Enterobacterales; Enterobacteriaceae. The record is from RNAcentral.
GGGUUGUGAGGUUAAGCGACUAAGCGUACACGGUGGAUGCCCUGGCAGUCAGAGGCGAUGAAGGGCGUACUAAUCUGCGAUAAGCGCCGGUAAGGUGAUAUGAACCGUUAUAACCGGCGAUACCCGAAUGGGGAAACCCAGUGUGAUUCGUCACACUAUCAUUAACUGAAUCCAUAGGUUAAUGAGGCGAACCGGGGGAACUGAAACAUCUAAGUACCCCGAGGAAAAGAAAUCAACCGAGAUUCCCCCAGUAGCGGCGAGCGAACGGGGAGGAGCCCAGAGCCUGAAUCAGCAUGUGUGUUAGUGGAAGCGUCUGGAAAGGCGCGCGAUACAGGGUGACAGCCCCGUACACAAAAGCGCAUGUGCUGUGAGCUCGAUGAGUAGGGCGGGACACGUGGUAUCCUGUCUGAAUAUGGGGGGACCAUCCUCCAAGGCUAAAUACUCCUGACUGACCGAUAGUGAACCAGUACCGUGAGGGAAAGGCGAAAAGAACCCCGGCGAGGGGAGUGAAAAAGAACCUGAAACCGUGUACGUACAAGCAGUGGGAGCACCCUUUGGGUGUGACUGCGUACCUUUUGUAUAAUGGGUCAGCGACUUAUAUUCUGUAGCAAGGUUAACCGAAUAGGGGAGCCGGAGGGAAACCGAGUCUUAACCGGGCGUUAAGUUGCAGGGUAUAGACCCGAAACCCGGUGAUCUAGCCAUGGGCAGGUUGAAGGUUGGGUAACACUAACUGGAGGACCGAACCGACUAAUGUUGAAAAAUUAGCGGAUGACCUGUGGCUGGGGGUGAAAGGCCAAUCAAACCGGGAGAUAGCUGGUUCUCCCCGAAAGCUAUUUAGGUAGCGCCUCGUGAAUUCAUCUCCGGGGGUAGAGCACUGUUUCGGCUAGGGGGCCAUCCCGGCUUACCAACCCGAUGCAAACUGCGAAUACCGGAGAAUGUUAUCACGGGAGACACACGGCGGGUGCUAACGUCCGUCGUGAAGAGGGAAACAACCCAGACCGCCAGCUAAGGUCCCAAAGUCAUGGUUAAGUGGGAAACGAUGUGGGAAGGCCCAGACAGCCAGGAUGUUGGCUUAGAAGCAGCCAUCAUUUAAAGAAAGCGUAAUAGCUCACUGGUCGAGUCGGCCUGCGCGGAAGAUGUAACGGGGCUAAACCAUGCACCGAAGCUGCGGCAGCGACACUGUGUGUUGUUGGGUAGGGGAGCGUUCUGUAAGCCUGUGAAGGUGUGUCGUGAGGCAUGCUGGAGGUAUCAGAAGUGCGAAUGCUGACAUAAGUAACGAUAAAGCGGGUGAAAAGCCCGCUCGCCGGAAGACCAAGGGUUCCUGUCCAACGUUAAUCGGGGCAGGGUGAGUCGACCCCUAAGGCGAGGCCGAAAGGCGUAGUCGAUGGGAAACGGGUUAAUAUUCCCGUACUUGGUGUUACUGCGAAGGGGGGACGGAGAAGGCUAUGUUGGCCGGGCGACGGUUGUC